This 363-nucleotide ribosomal RNA is filed under the name Triticum aestivum (bread wheat). Its description in RNAcentral is "partial small subunit ribosomal RNA". The record is from RNAcentral. Lineage: Eukaryota; Viridiplantae; Streptophyta; Magnoliopsida; Poales; Poaceae.
AUCGGAGAUCUAAAUGAGAUUAUGUAUCCAUUUGAGAAAGAGGAGGGAAGACCCAGACCAGCUCAAUUUAUGCAAGCAUUUCGGGAUGUGGUAGAUGACUGCCAGCUAUCUGAUUUGGGUUUUGUAGGAGAUAAAUUCACAUGGCAUGGGGGAGACAUCAGAGAACGCCUUGACCGUGCGUUAUCUUCUGAAGAUUGGAGUUACAGGUUUUCUGAUGCCAAGUUGGAAACGCUCCAAUAUUACAAGUCGGAUCACCGACCACUGCUGUUGAGCUUCGACGAAGCACCGGCCCAGGAUGUCUCGGGCCUAUCUGUGCUCAGGUUUGAAGCCUGCUGGUUAAGAGUCGGGCUUCCCUGUGACUGA